Molecule: ribosomal RNA, 420 nt
Filed under: uncultured bacterium
Lineage: Bacteria
Description: bacterial SSU rRNA
Rfam family: Bacterial small subunit ribosomal RNA
Source: RNAcentral
GAUGAACGCUAGCGGCAGGCUUAAUACAUGCAAGUCGUGGGGCAGCAUGAGUAGCAAUACUUGAUGGCGACCGGCAAACGGGUGAGGAACACGUACACAACCUUCCUUCAAGCGGGGAAUAGCCCAGAGAAAUUUGGAUUAAUACCCCAUAAUAUAUUUGAUAAGGCAUCUUAUUAAUAAUUAAAGCUUCGGCACUUGAUGAUGGGUGUGCGGCUGAUUAGAUAGUUGGCGGGGUAACGGCCCACCAAGUCUACGAUCAGUAGCUGAUGUGAGAGCAUGAUCAGCCACACGGGCACUGAGACACGGGCCCGACUCCUACGGGAGGCAGCAGUAAGGAAUAUUGGACAAUGGACGAAAGUCUGAGUCCAGCCAUGCCGCGUGAAGGAUUAAGGUCCUCUGGAUUGUAAACUUCUUUUAUAU